This 73-nucleotide transfer RNA is filed under the name Bos taurus (domestic cattle). It matches the Rfam family "tRNA". From Rfam's summary of the family: Transfer RNA (tRNA) molecules are approximately 80 nucleotides in length. Their secondary structure includes four short double-helical elements and three loops (D, anti-codon, and T loops). RNAcentral also lists the same sequence under 1 other name. Lineage: Eukaryota; Metazoa; Chordata; Mammalia; Artiodactyla; Bovidae. The record is from Rfam by way of RNAcentral.
UCCCUGGUGGUCCAGUGGUUAGGACUCUAUGCUCUCAGUGCAGGGGGCCUGGGUUCAAUCCCUGGUCGGGGAA